Long non-coding RNA from Megalobrama amblycephala (Wuchang bream), 813 nucleotides. RefSeq lists it as uncharacterized. The record is from RefSeq and is a predicted model, not a curated record. NCBI's taxonomy places the organism in Eukaryota, Metazoa, Chordata, Actinopteri, Cypriniformes, Xenocyprididae. The transcript is spliced from 2 exons.
ACAGUUUGCUCAUGACACUGCAGUUGCACACUCACAUUGGCUUGGUUAAAAAGUUAAUAUUUGAGAAUUUGAGAACAAGAAUUUGCCUCUUCCAAGGACGUACCAUUGAACAGUCAUUCCCUCUAUACAAAAAAUCACAAACGGUUUCGUCAGACUUUGAGUGCAGUGCGAUGGCUAUUCAUUCAAGAAUCAAGGAGGAAUUCAGCCCAUAGUCAACAAGACAGAUUUCUGUGAUUUUUUUUUUUUUUGGAAGAAGGCAGGACAAGUUGACCCUGCUGUUCUAGACUGAAGGUGUUGUCAUUGGGCUUGUCAUUAGUGUUGCACCAGGGAUCCCUUCACCCCUUUUCCCAUCCUGCUUUAUUCCCCUUAUUAGCAGUGAGCCUGACCAUCUGCACCGAUCUCCCCAAUGAAAGGACGGGCAUAUGGCGCACAGAACUGGCACGAGGUGCAUUAUCAUAUCAAACUCACUCUCUCUGCUCCAGGGAAUCGGCCACGCACCCACUGCUUCUUAAACGGACUCCAUUACAUCGAUCAAACACCUUGACGGCACCUCGCACUCGCUCUCUCUCCUGUCUGCGAGAGGAAUGUGUGCUUUCAUAAAUAUUUGACUGCCUCUCCUUGUUUGAGUCUUUCAUCUCUCGCUUCUUUCUGGCCAUUGAGCACAAUCGGCACAGGAUCUAAAGCCUGAGCUGGCAAACAGUGGCCACUGAUGGGAAGACUUGUUUUCUUUCACAUUCGUGCAUGUGUUUGUUAAAGACGAGACAAAUAAGAUGGUUGAAUUGAAAUCAUUUUCACAUUAAAUAUUGAAAUGGA